This 186-nucleotide unclassified non-coding RNA is filed under the name Funneliformis sp. RNAcentral's name for it is "partial internal transcribed spacer region". The stretch from base 1 to 46 matches the Rfam family "Eukaryotic small subunit ribosomal RNA", at positions 1786 to 1831 of the family's 1831-position model. The record is from RNAcentral. Lineage: Eukaryota; Fungi; Glomeromycota; Glomeromycetes; Glomerales; Glomeraceae.
AAGUCGUAACAAGGUUUCCGUAGGUGAACCUGCGGAAGGAUCAUUAAUGAUUUUUAAAGCGAGUCGAGCGUUAAGCGAGGCUUGCGAAAUAUUUAAAACCCCACUCUUUUUAACCUUAAAAAAUAGAUCAUGAUACAUGAAUUUAAAAAAAAAAGAUCACUUUCAACAACGGAUCUCUUGGUUCUC